GUCAAGAAUGACAUUUUUGAACAUAACAUCAACUUAAUAAGUUUGUAAGUAGAAAUAUAUUUAUUGAACAAUUGAUAGUUUGAUGACGUUAAAAACCGAUAGUGUAAUUAGAUUAUAAAGUUCCUAUUUUAUUGUGAGAAAAUGUAAGAUUUGCAAUUGCGACAAGAACCUAAACACAUGAUUUAGAUAUUUGUUGUUUGUUUUACCAUCCGUAUGCGGGGUUCGCAAUGUGCAGAUUAAGCUCCCGUUGGAGAUCAGAGAUCUCUAAGACACGAAAUAUAACAAAAAAGUCAGAUAACUAUCCUCCCUCAUCUGGAAUAGCCUAAUAUUGUCUUAACGAAGUAGUAUACGUUCGCAAUGCGGCGUUCACACAUUGCCGAUUAUUGCUCCCGUUUGAGAUCAGACAGCAAUAAGACACAAAAAAGGAAAAGUAGGAUUUCUAUCAUCAAUUAUCUGGAAUGUCCUAUCAUUGUGUGAACGCAGUCGUGUAAGUUCGUAAAAGAUUCCUACGGGUCGGGAAUGGUUCGGAUAGUUUGGCGGAUCACCCCGACAGUUAGGUUUAUCCCGUAUCCCGUAACAUUCGGGGAAAAUCAGCCGUGUUUUGUUAGUCGGAUUACAAGCGUAACUUUGUCAUGACAGAUUCUGCUGUAUCGGAUAAAAAUCCUAACAAUAUUCGGUGUUUUCUGGACGGUGUCCUAAGGAACGUGAAUGAUCUGGAAAAAAAUUUCAUUGCUGUUUUUCUACCGAUUGAGUCCCAGAUCUGGUCGAAUGCGACCCGUCUUUGCCGAAACCGUUCCGGAACAUCCCAUUAUUAAAACGAAAUUCGUCAAUGAUAUCCACGUCAGAGUCUCGACAAUUACAAAACGAUAGAGACAAGACAAAGCCAUUUGCAAUGCAGUAGAGCUGACCAUGAUGGGAUUACGUUCCGACAGUAUCCUAUCAUCCCGAAUAUGUUGACAGGUUUUUAAUGGAUUAUUAUGCGGAUAAGUUCGUUCCGUCAGUGUCGGUUCACUGUCUUGUCACUUUCUGAUAUCUGUCGGAUUCCAUGCGGUAGAAUCGGGACGCAGUCGUGACAGACUCGGUCGAAGAUACCGAUUGGAUUAGAAUCAGAUUAAGAACGGGAUCAUCGGGACAAAUUCGCUAGGAAACGGUUGAGUAUUGACGCUCCCUAAACAAAACCUGAUUGUUAUAUAUCGUCAUUUUGUUUUACAAUUUUAAUUUUAAUUUCACGAUUCACAAGAUCUUGAUUAGACUUUUGAUAAAUUUUAAUCGGGAAUGGUCCUGUUAAAGACGGCAGUAAAAAUCGUGAAUAUGUGACCCCAGCUUCACAGAUUUCUACAGAUCGAGAAUAGUUCGGAGAGGUCAAGCAUGCCGACAGUUUGGUAUGUUCCGUAACAUUCGAGGAAACUCGGCCAAUUUUGUCUAAUCGGAUUUCAAUCGUGAUUAUGUCGUGACAGAGUCUGAUGUAUUGGAUUAGAAUCGUAACCAUUGUCUGUGAUUUCUGGUCGUUGUCCUCUGAAAAAUGCAUGAUCUGAAAAAAUUCUUAGGCCAAUUGAUUCCAGAGUUAAUCCAUAUCCACCUGAAAGCGAACCGUCUUUGUCGUGAAUGUUGCGACAUUGUCCCAGUAUAAAAACAAAACGCAUCAAUAAUACACACGUCAAAGUCCCGACAAUUACAGAACACAGCCUUGUAAAUGCGGUACAGCAGACUGUGAUAUGAUUGCAUUCCGAUAGUUCCUGAUCAUCCUGAAUAUGGCGACAGUUUUCUUACCUGGAUGAUCAGGUACUGUCGGAAGGCAAUCCUAUUUCAGUCUGCUGCACUGCAUUGCAAAUGGUUUUGUUUGGACUCAGUGGUAUUGUGUUUUGUAAUUGUCGGGACUCAGACGAGGAUAUAAAUGACGUAUUUCGAAUAAAUAACUUGACUGUUCCGGAACAGUUUCGUCAGAGACGGUACGCAAUCGGGAUGCAAUCUGGACUCAAUCGGCAAAAAAAACAUGAAUGACAAAUCUCUAGAGAUCAUGUCCGUUCCACAGGACACCGUCCAGAAAACACAGAAUAUUGUUACGAUUUUGAUCCGAUUCACCAGAAUCUGUCACGACAUAAUCAAGAUUGUAAUACGACUAAACAGAAUCGGAUGAGUUUUCCAGAAUGUUAUGGGACAGACCUAACUGUCGAGGUGCUUGGUCGACCUAUCCGUUCCGCGGGAGCAAUGCUUUGCACUGUGUAAACGCAGCAUUCAGGUUUGAAUUUGCAGCCACGAUUCACAGGAUCGUGAUUAGACUUUUGACAAACUUUAAUCGGGAAUAGUCAUAUCAAGGACGUCAGUAAUAAUGGUGAAAAUGUGAUCCCAGCUUUACUUGUUAACGUUGUCAUUAGUUAAUUUAAUUUAAACAUAUUUUAUUGUUCAAAACAAAUGGAUUAGACACAAGUUUUUCAACUUUGUUCCGUCAUUAGUUAUUAAAGGCACCAGGUUUAUAAUUUGAUAUGUCAGACGCACGUUUCGUCUACAAUAAGGCUCAUUAGUGACGCUCAGAUCAAAACAGUUUAAAGCCAAACUAGUACAAAGUUGAAGAGCAUUGAUAACCCAAAAUUCUAAAAAGUUGUGCGAUGUUGGUACAUAAAAUUUAAAAAUUGAUUCUUAGUCCAUUGUUUUAUAUCGAAUUUUAUACUGGGUCGAUGCCACUGCUGGUGGACGUUUCGUCCCCGAGGGUAUCACCAGCCCAGUAGUCAGCACUUCGUUUGACAUGAAUAUCAUUAAUGGUCAUUUUUAUAAAUUUUCUGUUUACAAAACUUGAAUUUUUCGAAAAACUAAGGAUUUCUUACCGCCAGGAGUAAUUCCUAGCGUAUUUGCACAACUUUUUAAUUUUGGGUCCUCAAUUCUCUUCAACUUUUAUUUAUUUGGCUUUUUUUAACUAUAUUGAUCUGAGCGUCACUGAUGAGUCUUAUGUAGACGAAACGCGCGUCUGGCGUAUAAAAUUAUAAUCCUGGUACUUUUGAUAACUAUUCAUACAAUAGAGCAAAUAUUGUUUUUAUCAGUAUUUUGCAACUUAGUUGUUUAAGAAUUGUCAAAGGUUAAUAAUUCCAGCGGUGAUUGUUAAUUUUGUAAGAAAUGAUUGUUUUAUUAAUGUCUUUGUCUAUAAAUACAUGUAAAAGGUGUUUUCUGGACGGUCAGAUAAUAACAAGUCCAUUUCAUCUUAAACUAGGGUUCUUUAUUCAACAAUGAUAUAAUCAUAUAAUUAUAAACCCUACAAAAUAUAACAAGAUACAUAUUAAACACAUUAAUCUAAAAAUACUAUAUUAUAACGUGUUACAGUUAUUAUAACAUUACUGCAGAUCAACAUAAAAUCAGAACAUUGAAUGUAUAUAGUUCUUAUACAAUAUUUAUACACAAGGUGACAUGACAUGCCUGAUGUUUAUUAAUAAUUGCAAAUAUUCACUCAUCGUUCAUAUAAAAUCAACAGCUUUGACAAUUUAACAUACUUCUAUAAUGUCAAGACCAUAUAACACUAUAUCAAUUAACUAAAUAAAUAUAUGUAAAUUCAUAUUCUACAAAUAACCAUAGCAUAUGUAUCAACGGUAGAUAACUCUAUAUUAUAUCAAAUGUUCUUCACUGUCUUACAUGAACACUAUAUAUUAUGCGAUUUCAAGUAUACAUAAACUCACCAGUCUGUGCAAAUGAGUUUAAUAACUAACAUCGACAGUCUAACUAAUACUAACAGAAACGAUCUUCAUACUUCUACAGUAAUGGUAACAGAGGUUCCCAUCAAAUAUGGUUCUGUAAACGAUGUAUGACAAUAAUAAGUAAUCUGACUUUAAUAUCUUAAAGGCAUUAUUCAAUUCAUAAUAAAUUAUACUAAUCUUUAUCUUUCGUCUCGAAUUCACAAUUAUAAAUAAGUAAUCUUAUUUCAAUACUAAAAACAUUAAGUACAAGUACAAAUGUCAUUUCAUGACUACAUGACAAAAGGUCAAGGUCAUUCAUAAAAAUAGAUUAAAUCUCACUUUCUAACAUUCAUACUAAAAUUUCUCAAAUAAAUCAGAUUCAAACAACACUCAAAGCACACUCUUUCAUAAAGCUGGGAAUCUUACCAAAAUGAAGGUAAUAGACAUUCAUUUUAAAGUUAAGGAUCCAGUUCAUCCAAGACACCUCAAAGAGUACAAAAUGUAACUUACCAUAUAAAGUCAUGAUGUCCUGUUCCAAAAUGGAUUCCAUCACUAUACUAAUCCAUAUAACUUAUGAAACUACUAAACAAACACAAUAUAAAGACUAUGAACACAAAGUGCAUCAAAUCAUACGAAUAUAUCAAGAUCACAACAAAGACAUCAAUCCUCCGUUUCUGUUUUCAAAACUACCACAAAACUGGGAGCAAGGCUUAAUAAAUUAAUCAGAAUACAUGAAAACCUAUACACUCUAGUGAACAGUGAGUACUGAUAGUAAAAUCAAUAAUAGGUAAAUGCUACAAAGUAAACAGUUAUAUAUUAUAGAUCAAUGAAUAAUCAAUAGGCAAUCAAUAGAAUAAAGGUAAACUUAAAUAAACUACUCUGCAAAUGAAAAAAUAUAAUUAAUGAUGUCUCGGAAUAACCUAUAAAACAUAUAAAAUAUAUAAAUGAUUAAAUGAUAAAAAUCCACACUACCACAUAUAUAUAUAUUUGAAAAUAGAAAAUCUUAAGAGUCAUCAUGGUUUACAAAUAUUAGACCACAAAUACGUUGUUAAACACGAAUUUCCAUGUAAAUGAUAUAUCAUUCUUGAAUUUCGAAAGACAGAACACGACAGUUGUUUUUAAGAUUCAAAGACGAUUUGAUUUAAAGUCACGCAUUACCUUAUGAAUAAGAUCUUAUUAACUAAAACUUGUGUCAAUUAAAAAGGCUUUUAUUAUUGUUUAUGUAAGCAGUUAAGGGAAAUGAAUUUUCUUCUUUUAAAUCUUUGCUUAAAGUUUGGAUUAUGUAUCAAUGAUAGCAUUUAACAUAUUUGACAUGUGAUGAAAUUCGGAAAUUUCAACACAAUGUUUAAUUUGAAUAUGGAAUUUUAUUCACCCUUCACCGGUGACAGAAUAAAAAAAAAGCAUUAUGGUUAUUUCUGCAUUAUUUUGUUUCAGAUAUUUGAACAGCAAUCAAAUAACUACAAUACAGCAUGGAGCAUUUCAAACCUUAUCAGCAAUGCAGCAUCUGUAAGUAUGCAUGUUUAUAGAAUAAUAGUUGUGGUAUGAGUGCCUUUGAGACAACUCUCUAUCCAAGUCACAAGGUGUAAAAAUAUGAAUCAUUAUAAGUCAACGUAUGGCCUUCAACUCUGAGCCUUCGCUCACAUCGAACAGCAAACUGUGAACGACCCCAUAAUGACUAGUGUAAAACAAUUGAAACUGGAAAACAAAUGGUGUAAUCUUUAUAAAAAAGAAAGGAAAAACAAUUAUGAACCACAUCAACAAACAAAAACACCAAUGAACAAGAGUUUCCUGACUAAGGAUAGGUGCAAACACAUUCAGCGGGUAUAAACGUUGACAGGCGCCAACCUUUUUCCUAAACUGCAACAGUAGUAUUACAUCACAACACAUAUAUGGUUUCUUAAUGACUAGAUAUGAUAUUGGCAUUAUUAAAUAUGACUUCAUUGAUUUACGUCGAUGUGGCUUUAGGCAAUGUGGGUUAAACAUUGAUGAAUGUUAAUGAAAAUACACGAACUACGGUUUGUUUCAGAACUUAAUAUGUGGUUAUGUUAUUUUGUUAUAUGUGUCUGUUUCAGCUUUUGAUAUGGUUUUGUCAUUAUAUGGGGACGAAGUCCCCAAUAACAGUAGAAAAAUCAAUAAAAAAAAAGAUAAAAAAAAUAAAAAUCGGGAAAUUUUUCCCGAAAUUUUCAAUGUACUUAUGAACUCAAAAUAUUUCAAUUUUUUUUAUGUCAUGUUUUGAAUUCCCGCAUCUGCGCAGAAACCUGAAAUAUACUUCCUUCUUCCUGUCUAGUUUGUAUGAAACUUUGAGUAAAAUAGAUAUUUAUCAGUCUAGUAUAAAAUAGGAAGGAACGCAAUACCAAUUUCAUCUUUAAUAAUUCCUUGAUAGAAAAAACCUUACCUGAUGAUAGCGUUUCUUUGUUUACAUUACAUAUGACGUCAUAACUUAAAUAACGUCACAACUAAAAUCCCUAACAACAGAACCUAAAUCGGAAACGUCACCAUAUCCAACUAUAGCAGUCAUCACGUGACUUUUACGACGUCACACAUCACCCAUAUUAAGCCCAAGUAAAAUGUAUAGAAAUGCAGAGGGGCUUUCAAGAAUCGAUAAAAUAAAGUACUUUAAGGUGGUACCCAACACUUUCACUAAAAUUAAUUUGGCUCGUUUAAUUUUCAUAAAAUUUUGUCAAAUUAUUUACUUUGACCCUUUAACAAAAAUAUAAAAAAUUAAAAAAAUUUGAACCAACCGUUUUAUCAGAAAAAUUAUACUGGUUAUAUAGCAGUUUGACAAACACCAAUUUUGAUCAUUGAGAAGCUUAAUAUUCCCUUUACAACACAACGUAAUUAAAGCGUUUAGCUGACUUUACAGAGUUAUCUUCCUGUAGUUAUAGGUUCCACCUUAAGUUCAUGAUACAAAAAGUGUGGGAAUAUAUAGUAAUUCCUAAUAUAUUAAGAAAUAUAUUGAUGCCUUUUGAAAAAAAUUAAACUUUGGUCUUCUCCCUUCAAAAUGCUUUUGAAAAUUUGUCUUGUUGCCUCGAUAAGUUCACACUGUUAAUCAUCCAAUUCUGAUAAAUAUUGGAUUUUAAGUCGUGUAAACCUAAAAUUGCGAUUUAAACAAAACAGAUGGAAUAAUUGUGGCUUAUUACUAUAUUCAUAAAUAUUUGAAAAAACGUAUAUGUAAUAGUUUAAUGUUUUAUUAUUUCCCUUCCAAAUUGAUUUGAAAAUCAGUUAUUUUCUGAAAAUCUGGUAUUAUUUUUCAAGAUGGCGACCUCAUUGACAGCGUGGGACGACUUGGUAAAAAUAUAUUUUGUAAGAUUGUUACAUUGAAAAUCAAAAAACCGUUGGAUGCUCGCGUUUUCAGUCAUUGUCUUACCUUAAGGCAGCAUAGAAUCAAAUUUUUGAUAAAGCUGUUACAUGCUGGUUUUUUUUUUUAUAAAAUUUUGAAAAAAAUGGCGACCAAAUAAUUUUCAAACGUGGACGAUGUUCGACACUUAUUUUGUACAUGCCGUAAUUCAAUUUAAUUUCAGUGUUUACAUUGCAAUUAAAUAUGACAUGUUCUAGUCACUAUAAUGAUAGCCAAGGGCAUAGCUAGAUAAAGGUGAUACUAAUUAAGUCAUAACAUCAACGUCAUCAAAGAUCGAAAAUAAACAUGGCACCUAUUAAUCACGAUGUAAGUUUUGACAAUACCUAAAUAAUAAAUAAUAAUAAUACCAAUGUAGAUUAAUUAGUGUUCUCGAUGCUAUUCAUUACGAUCUUAUUUUAUAUUUAUAAAAAAAGACCUCGAAUGGAUAUUAAAUAACCAAGGUGAAAUAAAUAUAUUCUUUAAUUUUCUUUAAAUCAUUCAUCGGGUAACUAGUAAAUUUUACAUAAUCCUAAUUAAAGCAGUAACAUACAGAGUUAUCGAACGUAAAUAUGACUGAAAUAGUUGCAUAUGGGUAUUCCGUCACUUUUUUUUAAACAAAUAUAUAUAUAAUAAGUUCGAGUUACUGUUUGCGUUAUUCAAUUCCAAAAAUCUUUCCGAAAUUAGAUUUAAAGUUCAAGUUUCUGUUUGCGUUAUUCAAUUCUAGAAAUCAAUCCGAAAUUAGAUUUAAAGUUCGAAUUACUGUUUGCGAUAUUCAAUUUUGAAAUCUAUCGAAAACUAGAGUUAAAGUUCGAGUUACUGUUUGCGUUAUUCAAUUCAAGAAAUCUAUCCAAAACUAGAUUUAUAGUUCAAUUUACUGUUUGCGUUAUUCAAUUUUAGAAAUCAAUCCGAAAUUAGAUUGAAAGUUCGAGUUACCGUUUUCGUUAUUCAAUUCAAGAAAUCAAUCCGAAAUUAGAUUGAAAGUUCGAGUUACUGUUUGCGUUAUUCAUUUCUAGAAAUAUAUCCACAAUGAAAUUUAAUGUGAGAGUCACUGUUUGCGUUAUUUAAUUCUAGAAAUCUAUCUGAAAUUAGAGUAAAAAUUCGAGUUACUGUUUGCGUUAUUCAAUUCUAGAAAUCUAUCCAAAAUUUAAUUUAAAGUUCGAGUUACUGUUUGCGUUAUUAAAUUCUAGAAAUCUAUCUGAAAUUAGAGUAGCAAUUCGAGUUACUGUUUGCGUUAUUCAAUUCUAGAAAUCUAUCCGAAACAAGAUUUAAAGUUCGAGUUACUGUUUGCGUUAUUCAAUUCUAGAAAUCAAUGUGAAAUUAGAUUUAAAGUUCGAGUUACUGUUUGCGUUGUUCAAUUCUGGAAAUAUAUAUCCAAAAAGAGAUUUAAAGUUCGAGUUACUGUUUGCAUUUUUCAAUUCUAAAAAUCUUUCUAAAAUUAGAUUUUUAAAGUUCGAGUUACAGUUUGCGUUAUUAAAUUCUAGAACUAUCCGAAAAUAUAUUUAAAGUUCGAGUUUCUGUUUGCGUUAUUAAAUUCUAGAAAUUAAUCCGAAAUUAGAUUUAAAGUUCGAGUUACUGUUUGCGUUUUUCUAUUCUAGAAAUUUUUCUGAAAUAAGAUUUAAAGGUCGAGUUACUGUUUGCGUUAUUCAAUUCUAGAAAUAUAUCAUAAAUGAAAUUUAAAGUUCGAGUUACUGUUUGUGUUUUUCAAUUCUAGAAAUUUUUCCAAAAUUGGAUUUAAAGUUCGAGUUAUUGUUUGCGUUAUUCAGUUUAAGAAAUCAAUCCAACGUUAGAGUAAAAUUUCGAGUUAGAUAACUUCAGUUAUCACUUGAGUUUUAGACACAUUUAAAGGUAGAGUUUUUUCGAGUAGUAUUUCAAAAUAUUUGAAAUAAGUACUAGUACGUAUUUCUUCACAGAUUCGGGUUUUAUGUUAGUAUUUCGACAAGGUUUUGAGGGCAUGUGUUAAGUGUGUUGACUAUUUGAAUUAAAAUAAAAUUAAGAAUGGAAAUUGGGAAUGUAUUAAAUGACUGAAUAGCAAACAAAACACCGAUUACCAACAGUAAGUUUUCAUCACAUCGGGAAAAUCUCACACCAGGAAGCGGCUUCAGGUGGCACCUAAGCAAAAAUGUGUGCCAGUUUAGUGGAAAUGGACGUCCAAUUCCAAAAAAUAUAAAUGAAGUAAAACUAGUCUAACAAAAUUAAUGUCAGAGGCUCCGGACAUUGGACAUGCGCGAAAAAGCGGCGGAGUUAAACAUGUUUUGUGAUAUCUUAACCCUCCCCGGAUACCUCUAGUAAAUGUGGACUAAGCAAACACACAGCAAUACGCACAGUAAAAUUCAGUUUAAAAAAAUUACCGAUUCCGAUUUCAGAAAAAGAAAAGGUAUCAAUAGAAACUAAACAUUUAACUACAAAUGUGAUUAAUUAACAGAUCAACAUAAACUCAUCAUAUAUACCAGGAAUAAAUUGUAUGCAUACGCCAGACGCGCGUUUCGUCUUGAAAAGACUCACCAGUGACGCUCCAAUCCAAAAAAGUUUAAAAGGCCAAAUAAAGUACGAAGUUGAAGAGAAUUCUGGACAAAAUUCCUAGAUGUUUUGCCAAAUAUAGCUAAGGUAAUCUACGCCUCAGGUAGAAAAGCCUUAGUAUUUCAAAAAAUAUAAAAUUUUGUAAAUAGUUUAUUUAUAAAUAUAACAACAUCAAUGAUAAUUUAUGUCAGCACAAACAGUGCUGACUACUGGGCUAGAUUUUUAUGGCGACCAAUUCUUCGAUUAUUUGAAUAAUAUCAUAUUAAGUAAUACAUCAUUGAUGUAGGAAGGUUUGUUCUUUAGCUAUUUUAUGAUUUAUUUUUCAGAGGUUUGGAUAGAAACAAUCUGACAUUUGUCAAGAAUGACACUUUUAAACAUAAUAUCAACCUAAGGAGUUUGUAAGUAGAAAUAUUAACCUAAUAUAUCUGUGUGUACAAAUAUGUUUAUUGAACGAUUAAUAGUGUCAUGAUGUUAACAACCGAUUUUGUAAUGCAUUAUACGUUUAUUUGGUUCCUUUUUCAUCGUGUGAUAAACGUGAGAUUUAGCAAUUGUGAUAAGAACCUUAGCAUGAGGUUGAAUGAAAUUGUUGAUUGUUUUAACAUCGCUACCUGUUUCCGAGGUACAUUUCAGUCUAUACUUUACUUAUGUGUAAAGUCGGCUAGUGUAGUUAUAAAAGGUAAUACUGUAACGUAUCUCUUGUUUUUUUACAAAUUUAUCACAGGAAUACAUAAUUAUAUCAUAGAUCUAUAUAACAAAAGAAAUUUAAAUAACAAAAUAACAAUUUGAAUUAUUCAUUUAUUUUUUAAAUGCGUACAAUUAGAUCACAGUUAGCUAGGUAUUGUACAAAACUGUUAUAGUUGGUAAUGCUUUUAAUUUUCAUAGCUAUUUAAGAUGUAAGAGAAAAAUAACGUACUGUAUAAGUGAAAAGGACGGCAUAAUUUUUUCAUUUAUUAAAUUAUAUAUAUAUAUAUAUAUAAUUUAAUAAAUGAAAUUUUUUUUUAUUAUUUCGGCAUUAUCAAAGGCAAUCAAAUGUUUUGCAGCUUCUAACAGUAGACAUCAAUAUAUAUAUUGAUGUCUACUGUUAGAAGCUGAAAAACAUUUGAUUGCCUUUGAUAAUGCCGAAAUAAUAAAAAAUUGGACUGGUAGUCCAUUGUUUUAUAUUGAAGUUCACACAAUAGAGCAUAGUUUGCCGGAAGUGGUCGAGUGGUCUAGAGCGCUAGACAUGAGGCUAGGCGAUUGGUGCUGUAGUGUAUCAAAGGUGUAAGUUCGAAUCCUGCAGAGGGACGGACAAAAAUUUAUCAGCAGAAAAAUCUAAUUCUAACAUUGUUGGGUGUAAUUUUCAGACUUAUAUAUAUAUUUUUAUAUAUAUAAGUCUGAAAAUAUUGAAAUAUCAAAUCUGGGAGCAAAAAUGGUAAAGAAAUAUUGUAAAACAACUACAUUGUUAAACACGAAGUUACACUUAUAAGAUUUAUCAUUCUUAAAUUUCAAUAAAAGAGCACGACAGUUGUAUAAAAAUUCAAAGAGUACUCGAUUCAAACUCAUACAUAACCACAUAUAUAAGAUUUUUAGAGCAAGACAUUGUGUUUCUUCAAAAGGCUAUCAUUUAUGUAGUAUUAUAAAAUAAUUUUGGUUUUGAUUAUAUUACAAUAAUACAUGUGAAACAUUGGACAAUGUUUGAAGGUAACAGGAUAAAUAAAAGCAUUAUGGUUAUCUAAGGAUUACUUUGUUUCAGAACGUUGCAAAUCAAUCAAAUAACUACAAUUCAACAGGGAGCAUUUCGAAACUUAUCAGCACUGCAGAGACUGUAUGUAUACAUGUAUAUAGAUAUACGAAGAUGUGAUAUGAGUGCUAAUGAGACAACUCUCCAUCCAAGUCACAAUUUGUAAAAGAUAAACCAUUAUAGGUCAAAGUACGGCCUUCAACACGGACCCUUGACUAACAUUGAGCAGGAAACUAUAAAGAUCCCAAAAUGAAAAGUAUCAACAGUAAAACGCGACAUGUUUAACACCUAUGAACCACAUCCACAAAUGACAACCACUGAACAACAGAUUACUGCCUCAGGUUAGGUCCAAACAAAUGCAGCUGGUUUACAUUUUUUAACAGGCGCCGACCUUUUCCCUAAUAGGCAAUAGUGGUUUAACACAACUACAUAGAAAGACACACUAUAACAUAUCAAUUGAAUAAUUAAUUCAAUCAAAAAGAUAUUUAACAAAAACAAUGUAGAAUAUGAUUAUUGAUCAACCAUGUGUUAGUUGUUCGUUUGACUUAACAUGACUUAUUGCUAUGGAAUGCUACGAUUGUUUUCGGGAAUACUAUAACAUUAGAUGUCAUGGUUUUUUAUUAUAACUUGAAAAUUUUUUUGUAUUAUAUAGUAUGGUUUUCACACUACAAAAUGAUGUUGUGAAAAAACUCAAAAUGGUUUAGUCUUUACUUAAUGCUAUUUUGAUAUUACAUGAUAUGGUUUUCGGAAUGACUUGAUAUGAUUUUGUAAUUAUUUAAUACAAUUUUGAUACUACCUAAUAUGAUUUCCAUUAUUAAAGUUGAUGUGAAUCUAGGCAAUGUGAUUAAACAUUACUUGAUGUGUAUACGAAUACACGGAAUAUGGUUGUUUCAGAACACAAAAUGUGAUUUCGUUAUUUCGUAAUGUUGAUGUGUUCGUUCCAGUUUUUGAUAUGUUUUUUUUUUUAUAUUUAAAUAGGUUAUCACAAAAAUUCAUGAGGGAAAACCAAUCACGCUUUUUGUAAAAAAAAACUAUUCUAAACCGAUUUUUAUGUCGUUUGUUAUAUGAGCUUCGCGGGGUUGCUAUCAACCAAGUUAAAGUUUGCCUUACUGUUCAAUCCAAAAUUAGAGUUAAUGUUCUAGUUGAGUUUAUAGCCUUUAUAGUUACUAUUCAAGUUCAGAUUCAAUUCGAGUAAGACUUCAAGUUUAGUCACAUGUAAAGGUAGAUUUAAGUUGUACUUCGAGUUCACCUCUUUUCGAGUAGUAUUUCGAAAUAUAUAAAAUGAGUUAGCAUUUUCAUUUUCGUCUUAGAUUAAGGUCUUAUGUUGGUAUUUCGACAAGGGCUAGACGGGCAGAACUAAAGUCAGUUAAAAUCGAAAAUAGACGUACACAAAACAUUAUUUUUUAACGUAAAUAAAAUAUUCUCCGCCCUAUUAUUUUAUCAGCUAGAUGUUCAAUAAAAAUUUAUAUAUACAACUAUUCAAGAUAAAAUCCUUGCAUCGUCACAAAGGGGAGGCGAAAGGUAAUACAGAGUCAUUCAAACUCAUUAGUUGAGAACGAACUGACAAUGUAAUAAGAGACGGAAGAAUUUUGUCAUAACUGUUUGUAUAAAAUAUAAUUAAAAUGGAAUUUGGCAAUGUGUUAUAGCGACCAAAUAGCAAAAGACCACGGAAUUCCACCGAUGGGGCUUCAUCUCAGCGUGAAAAUUACGUAACCUGAAGGGCCUAUAGGUGGCCUCUCAACAAAAAUAUGUGCUAGUUUAGUGAUAAUGGACGUCAAACUUCAAAACAUAUAAAUGAACUAAAAUUUAAGAACAUACAAGACUAACAAAGGCCACAGGCUCCUGACUUUAGACAGGCGAAAGUGCGGCAGGUUAAACAUGUUUUGUGAGAUCUCAACCCUCCUCUCAUACCUCUUGCAAAUGUAAAAUAAAUAAACGAUCUGCAAUACGCACGAUAAAACCCAGUUUAAAAGAUUCCUGAGAGCGAUGUCAUAAUAGGUUACAAAAGAAACUAAGUAAAAUUACAAUGAUACAUAAAAAUUACUGAAAUGACAGCUCCAAUCCUCUAUUAAACUGAUUAAAAGAUAAUGUGUGUUUCAUAGCAAAAUAACACACAAUCCCUCAAGUUAGGUGUUCGGUAUUAUAUCAUCAUAUUUAUAUUUAUAUUUAAAAAAAUUUCUGUUUAGUAUUAAAUUUAUAUUAAGAUCCAUUUUGUUACAUCUUGUGAUCAAUUUUAUUUGGCAAUCGCUAAUGGCAGUCAGCAGGGUUAAAGAACAUCAGUCAAAUGCGUUUUGUUUAAAUAUACUUUUUCACUUUUUUGGUCUUUUUGAAUUCGAAAAUGUUGUUUGUGCUGUUUUCAGACCCUUCUACAACGAAACUUGUUUUACAUGCACACGUAUAAAAAUUGCGGUUUUUAUCCAACGCAAUCAUUAGUUUAACAUGAUUUUCAAUUUAGACUCGUUUAUAUUUUUCGUUGGGCUUGUAUCAUUUUUCCUCCGGUUUUAUGAUCCGUUCAUCCUAUAUUGACUCUUAAAAUUAAGAGUCUAUCUAAAAAUGAGGUAUUUCUAAAAAUGAGGGACUUUUUUUUUGGCCUUCAAAUAGCGGCCUAACAUACGAAGAGACAUUUAUUGUCGAAAUUCGGAUCUGGUGUACUAAAAACAUAUUGACACCUUGAUUGCGUUGGAUAAAAACUGCAAUUUUUAUACGUGUGCAUGUAACAAAUUUCGUUGUAGAAGGGUCUAAAUACAGCACAAACAACAUUUUCCAAAAGACCAAAAAAGUGAAAAAGUAUAUUUAAACAAAACGCAUUUGACUAACAGGUCGAACAACUGAUGUUCUUUAACCCUGCUGACUGCCAUUUUAUUGCCAAAUAAAAUUGAUCACAAGAUUUAACAAAAUGGAUCUUAAUAUAAAUUUAAUACUAAACAGAAAACAAUUAACCUGGGCCACGAUGUUAUGCCACAAACAUAAGUUGUCAAUAUUUUUUUUAUUUUUUUUUUUUUGUACACCAGAUCCGGUUUGGAGUUAAUUUUUAUAUGUGUGCAUUUAAAACAAAUUUCAUUUUAGAAGGGUCUAAUUACAUCACAUACAACAUUUUCCAAAAGACAAAAAAACUGAAAAAGUGUAUUUAAACAAAACGCAUUUGAGUAACAGGCCGAAUAACUAAUGUUCUUAAACCCUUCUGACUGCCAUUUGCGGUUGCCACAUAAAUUGAUCACAAGAUGUAACAAAAUGGAUCUUGAUAUUAAUUUAAUAAUAAACAGAAAACAAUAAACUUGCGGCAAAGAUGUUAUACUACAAACAGGAGGUGUACAUUUUUUUGUUCACCAGAUCCGGAUUUCGACAAUAAAUGUCUCUUCUGUGAUGUUAGGAAUCGAAACGGUAUUUGGAAGGCCAUGUAAUUUACCUUAAUUUAUGAUAGAUUGCAAGCGAUUUGGUGUCACGAUAUCUCAGAAGCAUGGGUUCGAAUUCCGGCAAGGGAAGAACAAAAAUGUGCGAAAGCAAAUUUACAGAUCUAACAUUGUUGGGUUGAUGUUUAUACGAGUUCUAUAUAUAUACAUUUAUAUAGAUACGAAAAGAACAUAACCCGUAUCAAGCCAAUAACUUGUUUUAGAAUAAAGGUGUUUAUUUAUUAUGCAACCACCCCAUGCGUAAAUCAAUAUUAACACAUGUACCACAAUAUGCCAUAUUUUAUUCCACGAAACAUUUGACAACUUACACUCAUUCUUUCUUCGUCGGAUAGCCAGUUGUUACACUGGUCUUAAACUAUUAUAAAUAAAUUAUUCCUCUCAAAUUCACUCGACUCUAGAUCUAUUUGGCCUUUUAAAAUAUUUUUUGAAUUCGAGCGAUACUGAUGAGUCUUUGUAGACGAAACGGGGUCUGGCGUAAAUAUAAAAUUUUAAUCCUGGUAUCUAUGAUGAGUUUAUUAGCCCAAGAAUGUAUGAUUUGAGGCAAUAUUUGACCCACUGUUUUUGUUACAUAGCGCAAUACUAACUGCUUGAUAAUUAUCAUAUCUACUUCAAGGCUGAACAAUAUCAUAUUGAUAUUGUACUUUCUGCAGUACAGAAUACUUCUGUUUUCAAUUAACAAUAAUUUAACAGAUGAACACCAAAACAGAUUUUUUGGCGAACAAUUCUUUUAUUAUGUGAAAAAUAUAAUAAGUUGUCUGAUUUAUCUAUCGCACUGAUAUUGAGAUAUAUAGUUAUCAAAGGAACCAGGAUUAUAAUUUAGUACGCCAGACGCGCGUUUCGUCUACAUAAGACUCAUCAGUGAUGCUCAUAUCAAAAUCUUUAUAAAGCCAAACAAGUAAAAAGUUGAAGAGCAUUGAAGAUCCACAAUUCCAAAUAAUUGUGCCAAAUACGGCUAAGGUUAUCUAUGCCUGGGAUAAGAAAAUCCUUAUUUGUUCGAUUAAUUAAAAGUUUUGUAAACAUUAUUGAUUCAUGUCAACACCGAAGUGUUGACUACUGGGCUGGUGAUACCCUCGGGGACGAAACGUCCGCCAGCAGUGGCAUCGACCCAGUGGUGUAACAGUUAUCAAAGGUACCAGGAUUAUAAUUUAGUACGCCACAUAAGACUCAUUAGUGACGCUCAUAUCAAAAGAUUUAUAAAGCCAAACAAUUAAAAAGUUGAAGAGCAUUGAGGAUUCAAAAUUCCAAAUAAUUGUGCCAAAUACAGCUUCGGUAAUCUAUGCCUGGGAUAAGAACAUCCUUAGUUUUUCGAAAAAUUCAAGGUUUUGUAAACAUGAAAUUUAUAGAAAGGUCUGUUACCUAUUAUUUUUGUAUAUGCUGGUUAUAUGGGGGAACAAAACAAAAAUUUAAACGGUUGUGAUAUAUAAUAUACUAUUAUAACAUUGCUUAUUAAUCGGUACGGAUUGAAUGUAAUGUGAGUUUAUCUAUAAUGUGAAGUACAUACAAUUACUUGAUAAGAUAAUGACAUUUAACAAUAUCUUACCUCGAUGUAUCUAUUCUAAAUUGAUUCAUGAGAAUAGAAUAUUAGCUAUAUGUAUUUACUUUGAUUUUAUUUUUUCAGACAUUUAAAUGGAAACAAUCUGACAUUUGUCAAGAAUGACACUUUUAAACAUAACAUCAACCUAAUAUAUCUGUA
Molecule: long non-coding RNA, 16336 nt
Filed under: Mytilus galloprovincialis (Mediterranean mussel)
Lineage: Eukaryota; Metazoa; Mollusca; Bivalvia; Mytilida; Mytilidae
Source: RNAcentral